ACUCCUACGGGAGGCAGCAGUGGGGAAUAUUGCACAAUGGGCGCAAGCCUGAUGCAGCCAUGCCGCGUGUGUGAAGAAGGCCUUCGGGUUGUAAAGCACUUUCAGUCGUGAGGAAGGUAGUUUUUUGUAGUUAAUAGCUGCAUUAUUUGACGUUAGCGACAGAAGAAGCACCGGCUAACUCCGUGCCAGCAGCCGCGGUAAUACGGAGGGUGCGAGCGUUAUCCGGAUUUAUUGGGUUUAAAGGGUCCGUAGGCGGGUUAAUAAGUCAGUGGUGAAAUCCCAUCGCUUAACGAUGGAACUGCCAUUGAUACUGUUAGUCUUGAAUGAGGGUGCAGUGGUUGGAAUGUGUAGUGUAGCGGUGAAAUGCAUAGAUAUUACACAGAACACCGAUUGCGAAGGCAGAUCACUAACCCUAAAUUGACGCUGAGGGACGAAGCGUGGGGAGCGAACAGGAUUAGAUACCCUGUAGACUGUC
Molecule: ribosomal RNA, 475 nt
Filed under: uncultured bacterium
Lineage: Bacteria
Description: bacterial SSU rRNA
Rfam family: Bacterial small subunit ribosomal RNA
Source: RNAcentral